Molecule: long non-coding RNA, 845 nt
Filed under: Olea europaea subsp. europaea
Lineage: Eukaryota; Viridiplantae; Streptophyta; Magnoliopsida; Lamiales; Oleaceae
Source: RNAcentral
GGAAAUUAUAUGGUCUUUAGAUUCCCAAGCUCAUAUGAGGAUGCUAGAUGCUCAAAUAGUAGCAAUUUGGUGGAAAGAUGGCGUACGACCCCUUCAAUUGGAGAAAGCGCUACUGCCUCAUGUGUGUGCUAACUUGGCUUGUUUUCCCAAAAUAUUCAGCCAUGUUUAGGGUCUGUUUUGGUGAUGUUAAUACAUUAGGAUGGUAGUGUAGAUGAGGAGGGAUGAAAGGUGGUGGCCGACCAUGGGUGUUUCCAGAAGUGGUGGAAUCGAUUUGUAUAGGGCACGCAGAUUGUGGUUGUUCCCAGCAAUUUCUGCCUCUAAUUGGAUAUUUGGGAUCGGUUACUUGUUGGAUUGUGUUUUUGGUGAGAGUCCAUCGAUGUAGAGGGCAAUUUCUUUGUGGCAAGAGCGGCGACAAGAUGGUGGUAUAGGUGAUGAGCACGAUAGAUGCAUAAGGGGCCAACAAUCACCCUCUUUUUUACGUGGCUUUUUGAUGUGGUAACAACAUGGUUAUUGUAUCGAGUUCCCAGAGAAGGCUCCAAUGAUGAUGUCAAAAAUUGUACCUGUUGAUUUCUCGAGAUUGAGGACUGGGAUCGAGCAUGAAUGGAGCCUUCCAGUACCUGAAACACACCUCGUUGCCCCUCCGAUGCUUAAUUCAGACGGGAAAAUUAUGUAAAAGUAUGUAUUGUAAUUGUAUUGUAAAAACGUACCUAAAUAAUGGGGCUAGGUCUUGUAGUUAUAGACAUUGGUGGUUGAGUUGUAGAAGGAUUCAACCAUUUAGAGUCCUUAUCCUCAUCAAAUAGAGUAAUUGAGUUAUAAGAGGACUAAAACACGUAAAAAGGCUCGAG